UAAGCUUCAGGAAGGAAAAAAAAGCAGGAUAAAAAAGUUACCACUUUACAUAGAGUGGUCAUGGAAGGCAUCAUUAAAGAGGCAGUUUAAGCAGAGAGCUAAAUGAAGUGAUGUGAGAAGCCGUAUGAUUAUCCAGAGAGGAACAUUCCAGGUGAAGAAAACAGCCACUGACAUGAUUGAGGACCAGCAAGGAGGUCGUUAAGACUGAAGUAGAGCAAACAAGGGAAGAAUGCUGCAGACUGGAUUGAGGAAAGCAACAGUGAAUGCAGAGAGACUAGUUGGAGGCUAUUGCUGGAACCUAUAAAAGAUUACAGUUUGGACUGAAGAUGUGUUAGUGCAGAUGGAGAAAAGUGGAUGGACUGUACAGCACCUGGAAACUGAUUGUAUAUGACGGUGGAAGACUUGUAGGUUUUACACUAGUGACUCUUUGGAGGCAGAUGCCAUUACUGAGAUGGGAAACCCAGCAAGAGAUAUCCAGGGCCUAUACAAGUCUUUUUUUUUUUAAUUUUUUGAUACGGAGUUUCGCUGUUGUUACCCAGGCUAGAGUGCAAUGGCACAAUCUCAGCUCACCGCAACCUCCACCUCCUGGGUUCAAGAAAUUCUCCUGCCUCAGCCGCCCGAGUAGCUGGAACUACAGCACACUUCAGAAUACUCUCAUAGUAAAAGAAGAAAAAGAAGAAGAAGAAGAGGAAGAGGAAGAAAGAAGAAGGAGGAGGAGGAGGAGGAGGAGGAAGAGAAGAAAGAGCUUUUAA
This 752-nucleotide long non-coding RNA is filed under the name Callithrix jacchus (white-tufted-ear marmoset). RNAcentral's name for it is "lncRNA (ENSCJAG00000076087.1)". The record is from RNAcentral. Lineage: Eukaryota; Metazoa; Chordata; Mammalia; Primates; Cebidae.